CUCUUCCGCAACCCGGACCGCUUCUCCUGGGUCGACCCAGCGCUGUGGCGCUCGGAGGNGGCGCGGCUGCUGGACGCCUUCCUGUCACUGCCCCAGUACCAAGGGCUGCAAGUGGCCGUGUCCAGGGUGCCGCGCUGGUCCCGGCUGCGGGAGGCCGACAUGGAGAUCCAGGUGGUGCUGGCGGACACUGGACCCGAGACCGGCGGCGCGGGGCGGCUGGCCCGGGCCCUCGUGGCGGAUGUGGCGGAGCACGGUAAGCGCCCCGCCCCUUCCUCUGGCUCCGCGUGGCCGCCGGCCGCUGAGCCCACCUCCCUUGCAGGCGAGGCCCUCGGGGUCCUAUCGGCCGCCCUGCGGGAGUCGGGCGCGCCAGUCGGGGGCGACGUCCGCAGCUGAGCAGAACGCGCCCGGGUCCCGCGCGGGGCUCGCAGGCGGCGUGGUGGCCGCGGUGCUGCUGGUGCUGCUGGCGCUGCUGGGGAUCGUGCUGCUGCGCCGCACCGGGAGGCUCAGGUGUGCGGCAGGCUCAGGUUUGCAGCUGGCGGGAAGCGGGAGCAGCGCCAUCCGAGGGGCUCAUCUGUGUCCCGCUCCCCAGGUGGAGGAGGCAGGAGGAGGCAGAGCCCGCCCCUGCGGGGACGCCCUCGGGCUUCAGCAACCCGGUAUUCUUCGUGGCGACCUCGGAGGAGCCGCCCCCAGUGCGGCCUUGUAGUCCGGCCCUGAAGAUGGACAGCAGCACAAGCCACAGCUACUUUGACAACCCGCUCUUCGCUGCCGAGGCUGAGGCCUGACCACUGCUGGCGCCCACCUCCUACCCUGUUGCCCCCUCCUGUGGGGGUGCUGGGUCUCUGACCUGUGGCCUCCUCAUCCCUGAGACCUUAGUCUUUUCCUGUCUUCCUUGAAGACCAAGGAUAGGCUGGUCUUGCCCAAUAAAGGGU
RNAcentral lists this long non-coding RNA (929 nucleotides) under Marmota marmota marmota (Alpine marmot). RNAcentral's name for it is "lncRNA (ENSMMMG00000003955.1)". Lineage: Eukaryota; Metazoa; Chordata; Mammalia; Rodentia; Sciuridae. The record is from RNAcentral.